RNAcentral lists this long non-coding RNA (3141 nucleotides) under Canis lupus familiaris (dog). RNAcentral describes it as "lncRNA (ENSCAFG00000053132.1)". The record is from RNAcentral. Lineage: Eukaryota; Metazoa; Chordata; Mammalia; Carnivora; Canidae.
UUUUUUUUUUUCCAUUAGACUUUUCUUAAUUUGAGAAUUGUCUGCCAUCUGGAGAAACUAGAAAAGAGAGUUUUAUUUUUGAACUCAGUAAGUUCUGGUUCCUUUAUAUUUAACAAUUCUUUUCUUAGUUUAUCUUAUUCUGAUCAGAUUACUUUAACAAAAUGCCAGUGUGGCAUUGUUAAAAUAAACAAAAAUUUAUUUCUCACAGUUCUGGAGGCUAGAAGCCCAAGAUCAGGGUGCCAACAUGGUUGGGUUCUAGUGAAGACUCUCUUCUACAUUGCAAACUGCCAACCUGUCACUGUAUUCUCUCAUGGUGGAAGGGGCUAGUCAGCUCUGUGGGGUUCUUUUACAAAAGCACUACUCCCAUUUAUGAGGGCUCCAGCCUCAUGACCCAGGUAUCUCCCCAAAGGCCCCAAAUGCUAAUAUCAUCAUAUGGGCAUUAAGAUUUAACCUAAGAAUUUUGGAGGACACAAUGAUUCAUACCAUAGCACUCUCUCCUAUCAUAUUUUAUUACAAGCAGCAAGAAACAACCAGAAAACAUCCCUGGAAUACCUUUAUCAUACAAUCCACUGUCAUCAAGCAAACCAUUUCCUACUUUCUACAUUAUCAUAGGUGACAAUGUUGCUAAACUUUCUUCUAUUACAUAUCAAGGAUCUUUUCACUAACUCCAAAUGAUUUUUUUUUUUUUUACUUUCCUUUAAACCUUCACUGACUUCCUCCUCAAGGGCUACCGGGUUUCCACCAAUUUUUUCAAAGCCCUCCGGCUUCUGCCCAUUGUCUAUUCCUAGUUUGGCCUCAACUACUGUUACAUUUUUAGGUUUCUGUUACAUGUCACCACACUUCCAAAUACCAAAAUCUAUUUCAGUUUCUAUAACUGCAUAAUAAAAUACUCUAAAAUUUAGUGGCUUAAAAGAUUAUUAUUUAUUCAAGAAUCUACAAUUUGGGCAGGGCUUUUUGCUCCACUCAAAGGAGAUAUAAAAAACAACAAAGAAUUACAGAUGCUUAUAACCAUUGUUAGCGUGUAUAUAUAUAUAUGAUGGGCACAAAGGAGUUAGUGGUUAAUUCCAUCUGAGAAAUCACAGAAAAAAAUAACCUCUGAUCCAGAGUUGGGUGCUGACAUAAAGGGCAGGAAUAUGAAAUGGGAUCACAUGCAAAAAACUGCAAGUGUAUUGAUAUAUAGAUAAGUCCAUUGAGGAAGAACAGAAAGGAAAGAACUAGUAUGAAGUUGAGACUAAAAAGGAAGGCUAGGAACAGACAAUGUUUCUAUAGGAGUAAACAAGAGGCCUGGGAUCAAAUCAGCUCUAAAGAAGCUACACCAUGGGGAGCUGCUACCGGGAACUAUUGGAAAUUGUGAAGAAAUAAAUUUGCUAAAGAAAGUCCCCUAAGUUAUAAGAAAGAAUGCCAAGAAGUGCUGUCAUAGAGAGAGGCUGUCAAAGACACCACUUUAUUGAUUAAAAAAAAAAAAAACACUACUAGGAAGAGAAGUAGGAAAUGUCCUCAACUGAACAGCUAGAAGGUCAGGCUAGGGUACCCUGUGCAUUCUGUAUCUCUAACUCAAACACCUAACCUUUUCCUUAGAGAGAGAGGUUGUUCCCAAUAUCUACUUAAAAAGCAGAGGUCAUAGUGACUAUGACAAUCUCAAUACAACUUCUCUCCAAAAAAAAUCAACAGAAAUUCAGUAAGGGCUGCAGUUAUUUAUACAAGCUGGAUUAUUUUCUCAAGGUUCUGAUGGAAAGCAUAAACCUGGAAAAGAGAAUGUGGUAUUUCUCUCUCCUUUCCUCCAUCUCUUUCUGUAUCUCUGUGUGCACACAUGAAUCUCUCUUUAACCCAUUAUAUUUCUAUAUAACCACACAUUAAUAGCUUACUUCAAAGAAAUAAUUUAUUACCAGAAGCCAAAAGCACGAACCCUAUACUAAAUCCUGACUGUCUAGUACAUGUUUUCUCCUUAAAAGUGAAAUUUUUAUUUGGCAGUGGCACUUUUUGGAAUAGAAGUGAGAACAACAUUUAACAAAAGAUUAUUACUCUAUAAAAUAAACACUAUCUUAGUGAGCCGCACUCCCUGUGCCUAAAGGAGUCAUGACAGCAACAGAAGAUGCUGUCAGUUCUUAUAGCUCAAGUGGACAAGAAUUACAGUGGGAACUUCAAAUAAAAUCACUGGUGCAACAACUGUAGCCACUCACAUAAGGAUUUCAAGUAGAUAUGCAUAGAGAACAGAAGCAGGAAAAAUUGUCUCAUGUUAAACUGACAAACUAGAGCACUAUUCUCCGUAACCUACACCUCACUUAUACUUAAAAACAAGCUUAUAUAAAACUUAUAUAGAAUCUAAUCAUAUCAAAAAUAUUUUUUAAGAUCUAGAUUCAGGUAGCUCUAACAAAAGUUGGAAGAUCUCUAUAUUUCAACACAGAUAUGACUCUGUGUUUUUCUGAUUUCUGCUCCUGUAACCAACAGCCUGUAUUGUUGUACUUAUGCUUUAAAAAAAAAAAAAAAAAAAGCCCUCAACAAAGUAGGGAUAGAGGAAACAUAGCUCAACAUUAUAAAGGCUGUAUACAAAAGACCCACAGCUAAUAUCACCCUCAAUGGGGGUAAACUGUGAGCUUUUUCCUCUAUGCUCAGGAACGAGACAGGGAUGUCCACUCUCACCAUUGUUAUUUAACACAGUACUGGAACUGGGAGUCCUAACCUCAGCAAUCAGACAAUAAAAAGAAAUUUUAAAAAGGCAUCCAAUUCAGCAAGGAAGAAGUCAAACUUUCACUAUUCACAGAUGACACGAUACUCUAUGCAGAAAAUCUGGAAGACUCCACAAAAAAGUUGCUAGAACUGAUACAUGAAUUAGCAGUCGAAGGAUACAAAAAUCAAUGUGCAGAAAGUGGUUGCAUUUCUAUACACCAAUAAUGAAGCAGCAGGAAAAGAAAUCAAGGAAUUGAUCCCAUUUACAACUGCAUCGAAAACAAUAAGAUACCCAGAAAUAAACCUAAAUAAAGAGGUAAAAAAUCUGUACUCUGAAAACUAUAGAACACAUAAAAGAAAUUGAAGGGACUCCUGAGUGGCUCAGUGGUUGAGCAUCUGCCUUCUGCACAGGGCGUGAUCCUGGGGUCCUGGGAUGGAGUCCCACAUCGGGCUCCCUGCAUGGAGCCUGCUUCU